This 253-nucleotide ribosomal RNA is filed under the name uncultured bacterium. Its description in RNAcentral is "partial 16S ribosomal RNA". It matches the Rfam family "Bacterial small subunit ribosomal RNA", at positions 524 to 776 of the family's 1533-position model. The record is from RNAcentral.
UACGAAGGGGGCGAGCGUUGCUCGGAAUUACUGGGCGUAAAGGGAGCGUAGGCGGACAGUUUAGUCAGAGGUGAAAGCCCAGGGCUCAACCUUGGAAUUGCCUUUGAUACUGGCUGUCUUGAGUACGGGAGAGGUGUGUGGAACUCCGAGUGUAGAGGUGAAAUUCGUAGAUAUUCGGAAGAACACCAGUGGCGAAGGCGACACACUGGCCCGUUACUGACGCUGAGGCUCGAAAGCGUGGGGAGCAAACAGG